Molecule: ribosomal RNA, 293 nt
Filed under: uncultured bacterium
Lineage: Bacteria
Description: partial 16S ribosomal RNA
Rfam family: Bacterial small subunit ribosomal RNA
Source: RNAcentral
GACGAACGCUGGCGGCGUGCUUAACACAUGCAAGUCGAGCGGUAAGGCCCUUCGGGUACACGAGCGGCGAACGGGUGAGUAACACGUGGGUGACCUGCCCUCAGCUCUGGGAUAAGCCCGGGAAACUGGGUCUAAUACCGGAUAUGACCUUCUGUCGCAUGACGGUUGGUGGAAAGUUCUUCGGCUGGGGAUGGCCCGCGGCCUAUCAGCUUGUUGGUGGGGUGAUGGCCUACCAAGGCGGNGACGGGUAGCCGGCCUGAGAGGCGACCGGCCACACUGGGACUGAGACACGG